Molecule: ribosomal RNA, 271 nt
Filed under: uncultured bacterium
Lineage: Bacteria
Description: partial 16S ribosomal RNA
Rfam family: Bacterial small subunit ribosomal RNA
Source: RNAcentral
UUGAUGGCGACCGGCGCACGGGUGAGUAACGCGUAUCCAACCUGCCCUUUACUAUGGGACAGCCCGUCGAAAGGCGGAUUAAUACCGUAUGUUGUCAUGUUGAUGCAUAUUUUCAUAACCAAAGGCUUCGGCCGGUAAAGGAUGGGGAUGCGUCUGAUUAGCUUGCCGGCGGGGUAACGGCCCACCGGGGCGACGAUCAGUAGGGGUUCUGAGAGGAAGGUCCCCCACAUUGGAACUGAGACACGGUCCAAACUCCUACGGAAGGCAGCAG